GACGAACGCUGGCGGCGUGCUUAACACAUGCAAGUCGAACGGAAAGGCCCUGCUUGCCGUGUACUCGAGUGGCGAACGGGUGAGUAACACGUGGGUGAUCUGCCCUGCAAACCGGGAUAAGCCUGGGAAACUGGGGCUAAUACCGGAUAGGAGCCAUUGUCAUCGUGUUGGUUGGUAAGUUUUUUGGGUGUCGGAGGAGCGCGCGGCGUAUCGGCUUGUUUGUGGGGUUAUGGACUACCCAGGCGGCCACGGGUAGCCGGCCUGUGUGGGUGGACGGCGACACUGGGACCGAGAGGCGGCCCAGACGGCGACGGGAGGCAGCAGUGGGGAAUAUUGAACCAGGGGCGCAGGGCGGAUGCAGCGGGGCCGCGUGGUGGAUGACCGCCUUCGGGUUGUAGAAUGCUUUCGCGAGGAACGAAGCUUGUUGUGACGGUACCUAGAUAAGAAGCCCCGGCUAACUACGUG
This 465-nucleotide ribosomal RNA is filed under the name uncultured bacterium. RNAcentral describes it as "partial 16S ribosomal RNA". It matches the Rfam family "Bacterial small subunit ribosomal RNA", at positions 28 to 507 of the family's 1533-position model. The record is from RNAcentral.